CUCAGGAUUUGCUUAGAGAAGGGGGCAACUCCAUCUCAGAGCGAAGAAUCUGGUCAAACUUGGUCAUUUAGAGGAACUAAAAGUCGUAACAAGGUUUCCGUAGGUGAACCUGCGGAAGGAUCAUUAAAGAUUUUUGAUUGGAGCAGCCGGGGGAGUGCCAGCCAGCCUGCGCUUAAUUGCGCGGCCGACGGUGCUUUCUGUUAACGGUUGUCUCUUUCUACACACACACUGUGGAGUUUUUUCUACUUUGCUACUUUUUCUUUGGGCGCAAGCCCAGAGGAUACAAAACACAAACAAUUUUUCAUGUUUAUUUUAGUCAAGAAAUUUUCAUUUUAAGAAAAUAAAAUAUUCAAAACUUUCAACAACGGAUCUCUUGGUUCUCGCAUCGAUGAAGAACGCAGCGAAAUGCGAUACGUAUUGUGAAUUGCAGAUUUUCGUGAAUCAUCGAAUCUUUGAACGCACAUUGCGCCCUUUGGUAUUCCAAAGGGCAUGCCUGUUUGAGCGUCAUUUCCUUCUCAAACCUUUGGGUUUGGUCGUGAGUGAUACUCUUUCCAGGGUUAACUUGAAAAUGCUGGCCAUCUGGCUGCUGCUGGCUGAGGCUCUAGUCCAGUCUGCUGAUACUCGACGUAUUAGGUUUUACCAACUCGUUGUGGCAUCGGUCGGGCGUUAUUACGACUCUAGCACGAAAGUACAGACAGCCUGGCGAAUAGUAUUCAUAAAGUUGACCUCAAAUCAGGUAGAAACGUCGUUGUGGCAUCGGUCGGGCGUUAUUACGACUCUAGCACGAAAGUACAGACAGCCUGGCGAAUAGUAUUCAUAAAGUUUGACCUCAAAUCAGGUAGGAUUACCCGCUGAACUUAAGCAUAUCAAUAAGCGGAGGAAAAGAAACCAACCGGGAUUGCCUUAGUAACGGCGAGUGAAGCGGCAAAAGCUCAAAUUUGAAAUCUGGCACCUUUGGUGUCCGAGUUGUAAUUUGAAGAAGUAACUUUGGGGCUGAUCCUUGUCUAUGUUCCUUGGAACAGGACGUCAUAGAGGGUGAGAAUCCCGUGUGGCGAGGAAUUCAGUCCUAUGUAAAGUGCUUUCGACGAGUCGAGUUGUUUGGGAAUGCAGCUCUAAGUGGGUGGUAAAUUCCAUCUAAAGCUAAAUAUUGGCGAGAGACCGAUAGCGAACAAGUACAGUGAUGGAAAGAUGAAAAGAACUUUGAAAAGAGAGUGAAAAAGUACGUGAAAUUGUUGAAAGGGAAGGGCAUUUGAUCAGACAUGGUGUUUUGCGACCCUAGCUCCUUGUGGGUUGGGAUCUCGCAGCUCACUGGGCCAACAUCAGUUUUGGCGGUGGGAUAAAUCCUUAGGAAUGUGGCUUGUCUUCGGAGAAGUGUUAUAGCCUAGGGGAAUACCGCCAGCCGGGACUGAGGACUGCGACUUUUGUCAAGGAUGUUGGCAUAAUGGUUAAAUGCCGCCCGUCUUGAAACACGGACCAAGGAGUCUAACGUCUAUGCGAGUGUUUGGGUGUAAAACCCGUACGCGUAAUGAAAGUGAACGUAGGUGAGGGCCUCUUUAGAGGUGCAUCAUCGACCG
This 1574-nucleotide ribosomal RNA is filed under the name Lachancea kluyveri. Its description in RNAcentral is "LSU rRNA". The stretch from base 825 to 1574 matches the Rfam family "Eukaryotic large subunit ribosomal RNA", at positions 1 to 767 of the family's 3401-position model. Lineage: Eukaryota; Fungi; Ascomycota; Saccharomycetes; Saccharomycetales; Saccharomycetaceae. The record is from RNAcentral.